This 496-nucleotide long non-coding RNA is filed under the name Capsicum annuum. RNAcentral's name for it is "long non-coding RNA (CANN_LNC011281)". Lineage: Eukaryota; Viridiplantae; Streptophyta; Magnoliopsida; Solanales; Solanaceae. The record is from RNAcentral.
AUUAAAUAUUUUUUAUAUUACUUAAAUAUUGUAUUUGUUAAAAAUAAAAUGGGUUAGUCAGUAAAUUUAAUUGAGGAAAAAGAUAAUGAAGGUAAUUCAACAUAAAACAAUAAUCGUUUUAGAUUGUUAAAAUCUUUAAUUUUAAAAAAAAUCAGUAAAACAAAAAGGAGAAUAAUUUUAGUGUCUGCAUUUGUUUGAAAUUAAAAGAAAAUCUAAAAUAUACUUUAAAAAUGUUGUUUUUUAACUUACAAAAACUUUUACUUCCUUUAUUUUAACUUGUUUGCCUGAUUUUGACUUAGCCCGAAGUUUAAAUGCGUGAUAAAGAUUUUAAAUUUUGUCAUAUUAAAUUGAAGAUAUAUGUGGAAAAAACUAAAAUAUCCUUUAAUCUUGUGGUAUUGAACAUGUCAUAUGAAAAAAGAUAAAUUAAAAGAGUCUGAAAAAAAAAGAAACAAGAUAUUCUUUUAUAAAUGAACAAAAAAGAAACUGGACACAAGAA